Molecule: ribosomal RNA, 250 nt
Filed under: uncultured Gemmatimonadota bacterium
Lineage: Bacteria; Pseudomonadati; Gemmatimonadota
Description: uncultured Gemmatimonadetes bacterium partial 16S ribosomal RNA
Rfam family: Bacterial small subunit ribosomal RNA
Source: RNAcentral
UACGGAGGGUGCGAGCGUUGUCCGGAAUCACUGGGCGUAAAGGGCGCGUAGGCGGCCUGGUAAGUAGGGGGUGAAAUCCUGCGGCUUAACCGCAGGGCUGCCUUCUAAACUGUCAGGCUCGAGCACGGUAGAGGCAGAUGGAAUUCCCGGUGUAGCGGUGGAAUGCGUAGAGAUCGGGAAGAACAUCAGUGGCGAAGGCGGUCUGCUGGGCCGUUGCUGACGCUGAGGCGCGACAGCGUGGGGAGCAAAC